UACGUAGGGGGCAAGCGUUGUCCGGAAUCAUUGGGCGUAAAGCGCGUGUAGGCGGCCUUGUAAGUCCGUUCUGAAAGCCCGGGGCUCAACCCCGGGAGGCGGAUGGAUACUGCAAGGCUCGAGUCCGGAAGAGGCGAGUGGAAUUCCCGGUGUAGCGGUGAAAUGUGUAGAGAUCGGGAAGAACACCGGUGGCGAAGGCGGCGACCUGGUCCAUUACUGACGCUGAGGCGCGACAGCGUGGGGAGCAAACAGG
Molecule: ribosomal RNA, 253 nt
Filed under: uncultured bacterium
Lineage: Bacteria
Description: partial 16S ribosomal RNA
Rfam family: Bacterial small subunit ribosomal RNA
Source: RNAcentral